Molecule: ribosomal RNA, 508 nt
Filed under: uncultured bacterium
Lineage: Bacteria
Description: partial 16S ribosomal RNA
Rfam family: Bacterial small subunit ribosomal RNA
Source: RNAcentral
GACGAACGCUGGCGGCGUGCUUAACACAUGCAAGUCGAGCGAGAAAGCUCCUUCGGGAGUGAGUACAGCGGCGAACGGGUGAGUAACACGUGGGCAACCUGCCCUAGAGAGCGGGACAACCCGGGGAAACCCGAGCUAAUACCGCAUGAAUCGUCAUUGCUCAAGCAGUGGCGGGCAAUGGUAGCUUCGGGCUCCGCUCUAGGAUGGGCCCGCGGUCGAUUAGCUUGUUGGUGGGGUAACGGCCCACCAAGGCGACGAUCGAUAGCUGGUCUGAGAGGACGAUCAGCCACACUGGGACUGAGACACGGCCCAGACUCCUACGGGAGGCAGCAGUGGGGAAUCUUGCGCAAUGGGCGAAAGCCUGACGCAGCAACGCCGCGUGAGGGAUGACGGCCUUCGGGUUGUAAACCUCUUUCAGGAGGGACGAAGCUUCCGGGGUUAAUAGCCUACGGGGUGACGGUACCUCCAGAAGAAGCCCCGGCUAACUACGUGCCAGCAGCCGCCGUAA